AGCAGCCGCGGUAAUUCCAGCUCCAAUAGCGUAUAUUAAAGUUGCUGCAGUUAAAAAGCUCGUAGUUGAAUUUCGGGAUCAAUAUGUUGGUCGUGCCUCGGUACGUACUAGCUUAUUGGUUUCUCCCUUCUGACGAACCAUGAUGUCAUUUAUUUGGUGUUAUGGGGAAUCAGGACUGUUACUUUGAAAAAAUUAGAGUGUUUAAAGCAGGCUUACGCUUGAAUACAUUAGCAUGGAAUAAUGAAAUAGGACGUUUGAUUCUAUUUUGUUGGUUCCUAGGAUCGACGUAAUGAUUAAUAGGGAUAGUUGGGGGCAUUAGUAUUCAAUUGUCAGAGGUGAAAUUCUUGGAUUUAUUGAAGACUAACUACUGCGAAAGCAUUUGCCAAGGAUGUUUUCAUUAAUCAAGAACGAAAGUUAGGGGAAUCGAAGACGAUCAGAUACCGUCGUAGUCUUAACCAUAAACUAUGCCGACUAGGGAUCGGAUGAUGUAAUUUUUAAUGACUCA
RNAcentral lists this ribosomal RNA (505 nucleotides) under uncultured Glomeraceae. RNAcentral describes it as "SSU rRNA". It matches the Rfam family "Eukaryotic small subunit ribosomal RNA", at positions 569 to 1078 of the family's 1831-position model. Lineage: Eukaryota; Fungi; Glomeromycota; Glomeromycetes; Glomerales; Glomeraceae. The record is from RNAcentral.